RNAcentral lists this ribosomal RNA (492 nucleotides) under uncultured bacterium. Its description in RNAcentral is "partial 16S ribosomal RNA". It matches the Rfam family "Bacterial small subunit ribosomal RNA", at positions 29 to 507 of the family's 1533-position model. The record is from RNAcentral.
AUUGAACGCUGGCGGCAUGCUUUACACAUGCAAGUCGAACGGUAACAGGCCUUCGGGUGCUGACGAGUGGCGAACGGGUGAGUAAUGCAUCGGAACGUACCCAGAGGUGGGGGAUAACGCAGCGAAAGCUGUGCUAAUACCGCAUGUGAUCUGAGGAUGAAAGCGGGGGACCGAGCAGCAAUGUUUGGCCUCGCGCCUUUGGAGCGGCCGAUGUCGGAUUAGCUAGUUGGUGGGGUAAAGGCCUACCAAGGCGACGAUCCGUAGCUGGUCUGAGAGGACGACCAGCCACACUGGGACUGAGACACGGCCCAGACUCCUACGGGAGGCAGCAGUGGGGAAUUUUGGACAAAGGGCGCAAGCCUGAUCCAGCAAUGCCGCGUGCGGGAAGGAGGCCUUCGGGUUGUAAACCGCUUUUGGCAGGAACGAAACGGUGUCCGCUAAUACCGGGCGCUAAUGACGGUACCUGCAGAAUAAGCACCGGCUAACUACGUG